CAUAGCUAAAAACACACUAGAACCAAGCUAAAAUCGUCCUCAAAUGCACGAGUUUGAGCUGAUUUUGCAAAUCUGGGUUUGAACCCAAGUCAAGCAAACAGGUUACAUGCCCAUAUUCAAGCCCCAACACUCAUCACAUACGAGAUCUAAGGGAAAUGCUACUUAAUCCACGUGAAAGUAGGUAACAUGGGCUUUCAAAUGCAACAAACAUCAUAGAGAAUGACUCACCGAAAAACAUCAAAACGACCUCUCCAAGAAGCACACAUGCAAAAC
This 273-nucleotide long non-coding RNA is filed under the name Eucalyptus grandis. RNAcentral's name for it is "long non-coding RNA (EGRA_LNC006936)". The record is from RNAcentral. Lineage: Eukaryota; Viridiplantae; Streptophyta; Magnoliopsida; Myrtales; Myrtaceae.